UGGGGAAUAUUGCACAAUGGGCGCAAGCCUGAUGCAGCCAUGCCGCGUGUGUGAAGAAGGCCUUCGGGUUGUAAAGCACUUUCAGCGAGGAGGAAGGUGGUGAGCUUAAUACGCUCAUCAAUUGACGUUACUCGCAGAAGAAGCACCGGCUAACUCCGUGCCAGCAGCCGCGGUAAUACGGAGGGUGCAAGCGUUAAUCGGAAUUACUGGGCGUAAAGCGCACGCAGGCGGUUUGUUAAGUCAGAUGUGAAAUCCCCGGGCUCAACCUGGGAACUGCAUUUGAAACUGGCAAGCUAGAGUCUCGUAGAGGGGGGUAGAAUUCCAGGUGUAGCGGUGAAAUGCGUAGAGAUCUGGAGGAAUACCGGUGGCGAAGGCGGCCCCCUGGACGAAGACUGACGCUCAGGUGCGAAAGCGUGGGCAGCAAACAGGAUUAGAUACCCUGGUAGUCCACGCUGUAAACGAUGUCGAUUUUGGAGGUUGUGCCCUUGAGGCGUGGCUUCCGGAGCUAACGCGUUAAAUCGACCGCCUGGGGAGUACGGCCGCAAGGUUAAAACUCAAAGGAAUUGACGGGGUCUAGCUG
RNAcentral lists this ribosomal RNA (580 nucleotides) under uncultured bacterium. Its description in RNAcentral is "partial 16S ribosomal RNA". It matches the Rfam family "Bacterial small subunit ribosomal RNA", at positions 355 to 926 of the family's 1533-position model. The record is from RNAcentral.